Molecule: ribosomal RNA, 397 nt
Filed under: uncultured bacterium
Lineage: Bacteria
Description: partial 16S ribosomal RNA
Rfam family: Bacterial small subunit ribosomal RNA
Source: RNAcentral
AUACGAAGGGUGCAAGCGUUGUUCGGAUUUACUGGGCGUAAAGCGUCCGUAGGUGGUUUGUUAAGUCAGGGGUGAAAUCCCGGGGCCUAACCCCGGAACUGCCUUUGAUACUGGCAGGCUGGAGCGCGAUAGAGGAAGUUGGAAUAUCUGGUGUAGGGGUGAAAUCCGUAGAUAUCAGAUAGAACACCAAUGGCGAAGGCAGUCUUCUGGAUCGUUGCUGACACUGAGGGACGAAAGCGUGGGUAGCAAACAGAAUUAGAUACUCUGGUAGUCCACGCCCUAAACGAUGCAUGCUUGUUGUUGGUUUCCUUCGGGGAAUCAGUGACGAAGCUAACGCGUUAAGCAUGCCGCCUGGGGACUACGAUCGCAAGAUUAAAACUUAAAGGAAUUGACGGGG